GCCCCGUUAGCUCAGUGGUCAGAGCGCGUCAUGUCUUCUUUCUCUCUCAUUCCUAAAUCCUAAAAUCUUCUUUCACUCCGACUCCGUUCCUAAAUACCUAAGAUCUUCUGGCAAGACACUGGUUCGAAUCCAGUACAGGGCA
This 142-nucleotide transfer RNA is filed under the name Stachybotrys chlorohalonatus IBT 40285. Its description in RNAcentral is "tRNA-Ser (CGA) (tRNA-Ser-CGA-3-1)". It matches the Rfam family "tRNA". Rfam says of the family: Transfer RNA (tRNA) molecules are approximately 80 nucleotides in length. Their secondary structure includes four short double-helical elements and three loops (D, anti-codon, and T loops). Further hydrogen bonds mediate the characteristic L-shaped molecular structure. tRNAs have two regions of fundamental functional importance: the anti-codon, which is responsible for specific mRNA codon recognition, and the 3' end, to which the tRNAs corresponding amino acid is attached (by aminoacyl-tRNA synthetases). tRNAs cope with the degeneracy of the genetic code in two manners: having more than one tRNA (with a specific anti-codon) for a particular amino acid; and 'wobble' base-pairing, i.e. permitting non-standard base-pairing at the 3rd anti-codon position. The record is from Rfam by way of RNAcentral. Lineage: Eukaryota; Fungi; Ascomycota; Sordariomycetes; Hypocreales; Stachybotryaceae.